CGCACCUUGCGCUCUCUGGUAUUCCGGAGAGCAUGCCUGUUUGAGUGUCAUGAACUCUUCAACCCACCGGUUCCUUGUUGGACCGAAUGGUGUUUGGAUUUUGAGCUCUGCUAUUCAUUUAGCUAGCUCGUAAUGCAUUAGCAUCUUUCAAUUUCAUAAUCGGAUUGACUCAGCGUAAUAGACUAUUCGCUGAGGACACUUUUACUAGUGGCCGGUAAUGGAGAUAGAGAAGCUUCCAACUCUUCUAGUCAACUUUAGAUUAGACCUCAAAUCAGGCAGGAUUACCCGCUGAACUUAA
RNAcentral lists this unclassified non-coding RNA (298 nucleotides) under Bannozyma sp. Its description in RNAcentral is "partial contains 5.8S ribosomal RNA, internal transcribed spacer 2, and large subunit ribosomal RNA". Lineage: Eukaryota; Fungi; Basidiomycota; Microbotryomycetes; Chrysozymaceae. The record is from RNAcentral.